AAAACUCUGUUGUCAGGGAAGAACGUCCCCGUGAGUAACUGCACGGGGAGUGACGGUACCUGACCAGAAAGCCACGGCUAACUACGUGCCAGCAGCCGCGGUAAUACGUAGGUGGCAAGCGUUAUCCGGAAUUAUUGGGCGUAAAGCGCGCGUAGGCGGUUUCUUAAGUCUGAUGUGAAAGCCCCCGGCUCAACCGGGGAGGGUCAUUGGAAACUGGGGAACUUGAGUGCAGAAGAGGAGAGUGGAAUUCCAUGUGUAGCGGUGAAAUGCGCAGAGAUAUGGAGGAACACCAGUGGCGAAGGCGGCUCUCUGGUCUGUAACUGACGCUGAUGUGCGAAAGCGUGGGGAUCAAACAGGAUUAGAUACCCUGGUAGUCCACGCCGUAAACGAUGAGUGCUAAGUGUUAGGGGGUUUCCGCCCCUUAGUGCUGCAGCUAACGCAUUAAGCACUCCGCCUGGGGAGUACGGCCGCAAGGUUGAAACUCAAAGGAAUUGACGGGGA
Molecule: ribosomal RNA, 501 nt
Filed under: Lacicoccus alkaliphilus
Lineage: Bacteria; Bacillati; Bacillota; Bacilli; Caryophanales; Salinicoccaceae
Description: bacterial SSU rRNA
Rfam family: Bacterial small subunit ribosomal RNA
Source: RNAcentral